GUAACGGCGAGUGAAGCGGCAACAGCUCAAAUUUGAAAUCUGGCUACUUUGUAGUCCGAGUUGUAAUUUGUAGAGGAUGCUUUUGGUGAGGUGCUUUCUGAGUUCCCUGGAACGGGACGCCAGAGAGGGUGAGAGCCCCGUACAGUUAGCAACUGAUCCUUUGUAUAGCUCCUUCGACGAGUCGAGUAGUUUGGGAAUGCUGCUCUAAAUGGGAGGUAUAUCUCUUCUAAAGCUAAAUAUAGGCUAGAGACCGAUAGCGCACAAGUAGAGUGAUCGAAAGAUGAAAAGCACUUUGAAAAGAGAGUUAAACAGCACGUGAAAUUGUUGAAAGGGAAGCGCCUAUGACCAGACUUGUUUCUAUCAGUUUUGGUAGUUUUCGGACUGCUUUACUCUGUUAGUACAGGCCAACAUCAGUUUGUUGUCGGGGAGAAAGGCUUAGGGAAUGUGGCUCCCUCGGGAGUGUUAUAGACCUUUGCAUAAUACCCUUCGGCAGACUGAGGACCGCGCUUCGGCAAGGAUGUUGGCGUAAUGGUCAUCAGCGACCCGUCUUGAAACACGGACCAAGGAGUCAACCUUAUAUGCGAGUGUUUGGGUGUAAAACCCCAGCGCGUAAUGAAAGUGAACGUAGAUGAGAGCUUCGGCGCAUCAUCGACCGAUUCUGAUGUUCUCGGAUGGAUUUGAGUAAGAGCAUAUAGGGUUGGACCCGAAAGAAGGUGAACUAUGCUUGUAUAGGGUGAAGCCAGAGGAAACUCUGGUGGAGGCUCGCAGCGGUUCUGACGUGCAAAUCGAUCGUCAAAUAUGAGCAUGGGGGCGAAAGACUAAUCG
Molecule: ribosomal RNA, 825 nt
Filed under: Ambrosiella roeperi
Lineage: Eukaryota; Fungi; Ascomycota; Sordariomycetes; Microascales; Ceratocystidaceae
Description: LSU rRNA
Rfam family: Eukaryotic large subunit ribosomal RNA
Source: RNAcentral